Rhincodon typus (whale shark) is the source of this 4109-nucleotide long non-coding RNA. RefSeq lists it as uncharacterized. NCBI's taxonomy places the organism in Eukaryota, Metazoa, Chordata, Chondrichthyes, Orectolobiformes, Rhincodontidae. The transcript has 3 exons. The record is from RefSeq and is a predicted model, not a curated record.
AAGGGCGGGGCUCCAUGAUCGACCUAAUCCCGCUGCUGUCAUUCACGGAGACCGCCGAACGGUAGAGGGGGGUGCGGCUAGAGCGGGCGGGCAGGAUUUAGGGUAACCAGGUUGCUCGAGUGUACACCAGUGGGUGCAAUGAUGAUCUCCCGCCACCAGGGGAGGCUGGAGGCCACUUCUAGUGGUGGCAAUUAUAUCUUGUGACACCAGAGGGUGCUGGAAUGUCUUCCGGUUGGAAUUGUGAAGUCCUCAGGAUGCCAGAGAGAAGACCGCUACUGGAACAACUUGGCUAGCGAUGCUGCCAGACCUGCUGAGCUUCACCAGCAAUUUUGUUUUUGUUCCUGAUUUGCAGCAUCCGCAGUUCUUUUGCUUUUUGUUUAGGAUUGUCAGGAGUUUCAUUAACAUUCAAUAUUUGUGGUGACUCUGAGAGCAGUGGGACUUGACUUCCAGUGAGUCAUGAUGCCAGUGACAUUACUGCUACAGCACCGCUUCCCCCUGUUGUAUGCUUUGGGAUUAUCUGAAACGCUGAAUCUCAUGGUCCAAUGCAUAAUCCACAAUAGAACACAUAUGAACACAAACCUACCUCUGGAAUAUUGUCCCGAAGCAGUCAAACCUCUUAGCUCUGGACACCGAAGAAUCAUGGCAAACAAAUGAUGAAUUAUAUUAGCCCAUCCUGCCAACCAGGACUGUCAACAUGAGGGAAAUUCUCACAGAGGUAUUUAUGAAUAGCAAGAUCUAACAAUGCCAUUUUGAGCUCCAUUUAAUGGCAUGGAUCACUGCUUUCCAAAGAGUAGUGCAUGGCAAAACUGUUCAUAUUUUAAACCUCAGUUUCAUACUGUCACUUUGCAAAUCUGCUUGAAUGAAUGAGACGCAAUCCUAUUACGAACCCAACAGGUAUAUUCAGUAGGUGCCAGUGCUGAGUAUUAUUUUAAUAGAGAAAACCUUCAGAGAGAUGAAGCACAGAGGGAUAUGGGAGUCUCAUACUUAAAUCACAAAACGUUAGCAGACAAAUUCAGCAGAUCAUUGGGAAGGCAAAUAGAAUGUUGACCUUUAUUUCAAAGGGAAUAGUGUCUUAAAAUAGGGAAAUCUUGCUAAAACUACACAAAACACUAGACAGACCACACCUAGAAUACUGUGAAUAGGUUGAUCUUUUCAUCUAAGGAAAUGUUUACUGGAGUUGGAGAGAGUGUUCUCUCUGUGGAAUUUUUUACCACAAAGUGCUUUCGAGGCUGGGUCAUUAAGUACAUCUAAGACUGAGAUGGACAGAUUUCUAACCAGUAAAGGAAUCAAGGGGUAUCAGGAAAGUGGAGUUGAGGGUGAUAUGAUCUGCUGUGAGCUCAUGAAAUGGUGAACAGACCCGAUCUGCCUGAACAGUCUACUUCUGCUCCUAAUAAGCACAUAAAUGAGUUAACCAUUUUAUAGUUUUAAAUGCUAUUUAAGGAGAAGAGAAGCUGUGGAACUUAUUCACUACAGUAUAUAAAUGAAUAUUUGGAGUGUUAAUAAAGCACUAAGGAUAUCUCUCACCCAGGAAAAGAUUUGAAGAGUAGUUGAGGUUGUUAACAAGCUAAUUUAAGUUGUCAUAGAGUCAUACAGCAUGGAAACAGACCCUUUGGUCCAACCAGUCCACGCCGAACAUAAUCCAAAACUAGUCCCACCUGCCUGCACCUGGUCCAUAUCCCUCCAAACCUUUCCUCUUCAUGUACUUACCUUUUAAAUGUUAACAAAAUGUAUUGCUAAUGAUUCCAUAAUAUCAUUUACACGUGCUGUGGAGAUGUCUUUUGUUUUUUUUCUUGUCCCAUUACCAUCCACUUGGCCUCGCACCUUCUACUUUUGUCAUUUAAUAUCUCCUGCUUUGUAUUUCCGUACGCUGUAGAAAUAUGAACUGCUAUAAGUUAUAAACUUAAAGUGCAAAACGUAUCCUCAGAUCUUGAGCUCUGGGGGAGAAGAAAAACAAGUUUAAAUUUGAAAUGGAUUAAAAUACAAAUAUGUUUCAAAUACAUGUAAGACACUAUUUAACAACCGGGGAACAAUUGUAAAACAACAUACAAGAGCAGAUCACAGAGAGUUAACAUUUAGUUCAGUGACUUGCAAACGCUCAAGAAAAUCAGCUUCAAGCAGAGAAGAUUUAUAUCUCAUUAAAAUACAAAACCAAGCUUCUCACCCUCAGAAACAAGUUUCUUCAUUUUUCUUUUGCAUAUCAAAGCUGUUUGCCUUCUAACUUUUUUAAUUCUUUCUAAACAUUUUAAUCUCAAUUUUUCUCUUUUCUUUGUCAACCUUAUUUGUAGUGGGAGUGGGGUUCAGAAUGUUUUCUUUUGUAAUCAGACACACAAGCAGUUAGAAUAUACUGUCACAAAAGGGGAGUUUACCUCUGUUCGUGUCAGCCAGGACUAAUGCUUUUUGUCUGCCCAAUUUCCCUUGUAAUUCCAACUUUCUGAAUUUAUGCAGAGGAUUCAACACCUCUAUUUAACUGUUUCUCUUGAAUGGUGAGCCUCUUGUUUGUCUUGUUCCAUCAGCUCUUGUUUGAGUUGUUUCACGUCAAUGAAAGCUCCUUCUGCAUGCAGACGAGAUAGGCUGUACUAAAUAAAAGCAGAAUACUGCAGAUGAUGGAAAUCUAAAAUAAGAACACAAAGAGCUGGAGAAACACAGCAGGUCUGGCAGCACCGGUGUGGAGAGAAACAGAGUUAACAUUCCAAGCCCCGUAUGACUCUUCUUUCACAGUGAAAGGAGGUGGAAAUUGGUGAUUUUUAUGUUUGUGACAGAGCAGGAAGGGGAAGCAAGUGCAGCAGAUAGUGAACAUGCGUAGAGCAAAAGACAAAGUCAGUGAUAAUUGUGGAAAAAGAGAGCUAAAUAUGUUGAAUACAGGUAACUAUUAGCUGUGGAAAGGAGACAAUGGGCCCACUCUGCUGAGAGGUAGGCAAAAAGAUACACAUAAGACCCAGCCAGGGCAGAGAGGGGGAUGUAAGAAAAAUGGAGUAUAGAGGUUGUACUUUAAAGUUGCAGAUCUCGAUGUUGAAUCCUGGGAAUAGUGAAGUGCCCAAGAAGUAACUGAAAUGUUAUUCUUCCAGGACAGAUAUGAUCUGCAAUGCAUUCAGGCAGAUGACCUCUAAUGUACAAGCCUGCCACUUUAGCCCAUUUAUCCCCGAUCUUUCUGCUGCAAUUAUCAGGCAGCGCGGUAUCUCCGUGGUUAGCACUGCCGCCUCUCAGCACCAGGGACCCAGGUUUGAUUCAGAGAAUGUUUGGAGAAAGGGGACAGUGACCUAUUUAAGGAUAUAGUUGUGUUUGUUCAGAGUCUAAUGGGUAAGAAGUGAAAAGCAGAAAAGGCGAUAGGGCUUUUGGUUUAUGGAGCAGACCAUCAUGCUGAGAAAGCUGAUGAGAUGGUCAACAAGAAUCAGGAGGCAAAGAACUGAAUGACGAAAACAAUUCAUAGAAUCACUACAGUGUGGACACAGAACAUUCAGCCCAUUCAGUCCACUCCGACCCUCCGAAGAUCAUCCCACUCAGACCUAACCCCUACUCUGUAACCCUGUAUUUCCCAUGGCCAGCCCACCUUAACCUGCACAUCUUUGGACUGUGGGAGGAAACCGGAGCACCCGGAGGAAACCCACACAGACAUGGGGAGAACGUGCAAACUCCACACGGACAGUCACCCAAGUGUGGGUGGUUUGGGCUUAGAAGAUGAUCACAGUGGACAUUUUAGGCUGAGACCUUUUUAGAAACAAUUUUAGUCCAUGGAAGUCUCAGGAAUUAAAGUUAAAUGAUGUAAGUUGAAUAUUGCUAUCCGUUUUCAAUGCAAUUGUAAUAAAUCUCAUUGGUUAAGGCGAUAAACUGUGGUCCCAUCAUUCUCUGAAGACCCAAAUGUCCUGUUGCCCUCACUACUCUGUAAUCAACUCCCACUUCCAAUGAGUUCCAGGAGUGUCUUCAAAGAACACAGAGGUGGAGAGGCUUAAAGCAGGAAUUCCAAGGCUUAAUAUCCUCAUCUUCCUUUAUCAUGGAAUCUUCUAAUGUUUUAUUAGUUGAGAGAGAUUUUCAGCUUUCAUGCUGUUGCUUCUGUAUUUUUGUUGUGUUACUACCCUCUGACCAGCUUUAUCCCACCUGAUAUUGGAGCCAGA